GACGAACGCUGGCGGCGUGCUUAACACAUGCAAGUCGAACGGGUCUGCCCUGUUUUUUGCGGGGUGGGUCAGUGGCGAACGGGUGAGUAACACGUGAGUAACCUGCCCCUCACUUCUGGAUAACCGCUUGAAAGGGUGGCUAAUACGGGGUGUUCUGGCUGUGCCGCAUGGUGUGGCUGGGAAAGAUUCACUUUUGUGGUGUUUUGGUGGGGGAUGGGCUCGCGGCCUAUCAGCUUGUUGGUGGGGUGAUGGCCUGCCAAGGCUUUGACGGGUAGCCGGCCUGAGAGGGUGGGCGGUCACACUGGGAAUGAGAUACGGCCCAGACUCAUGCGGGAGGCAGCAGUGGGGGGUAUUGCACAAUGGGCGGAAGCCUGAUGCAGCGACGUCGCGUGAGGGAUGGAGGCCUUCGGGUUGUGAACCUCUUUCGCCGGUGAAGAAGGUCCUGCUCUUUGUGGUGGGGUUGACGGUAGCCGGGUUAUGAAGCGCCGGCUAACUACGUG
RNAcentral lists this ribosomal RNA (500 nucleotides) under uncultured bacterium. RNAcentral describes it as "partial 16S ribosomal RNA". It matches the Rfam family "Bacterial small subunit ribosomal RNA", at positions 28 to 507 of the family's 1533-position model. The record is from RNAcentral.